UAUACUGUGCCUGAAUAUACGGGCUAUUUUGAUGUAAUAGAUUAUGGAAGUUGGAUUCCCGGUAUAA
Molecule: transfer RNA, 67 nt
Filed under: Cuspidaria undata
Lineage: Eukaryota; Metazoa; Mollusca; Bivalvia; Cuspidariidae
Description: tRNA-Ile
Source: RNAcentral